Long non-coding RNA from Haliotis rufescens (red abalone), 246 nucleotides. RefSeq lists it as uncharacterized. Lineage: Eukaryota; Metazoa; Mollusca; Gastropoda; Lepetellida; Haliotidae. The transcript has 3 exons. The record is from RefSeq and is a predicted model, not a curated record.
AUUUGCUGUCACCAGCCAUCUUAGCUCAAACUCACUCUGGACAUAAUAUAUUACAAGCAAGUGAUUGUGCAGCAACUGGAACUGGACAGAUGAUCUGUGAAUUCGAUUGAGGUGGAGAAAACAGUAUUGUGGGAGCGUAUUUGUUUAAAGUACAUAUCACUGACAGAAAGUUACCAAGGCAUAAGGAGAGACUGAGGAUACAGUUGAAGAUCAUCCCGGUGGCUUUUCAUUUGAGGACUGAAAAGG